UCGCAGAACGACUCUCGGCAACGGAUAUCUCGGCUCUCGCAUCGAUGAAGAACGUAGCGAAAUGCGAUACCUGGUGUGAAUUGCAGAAUCCCGCGAACCAUCGAGUCUUUGAACGCAAGUUGCGCCCGAAGCCACCAGGCCGAGGGCACGUCUGCCUGGGCGUCACGCA
Molecule: ribosomal RNA, 169 nt
Filed under: Dipteryx alata
Lineage: Eukaryota; Viridiplantae; Streptophyta; Magnoliopsida; Fabales; Fabaceae
Also listed under: 2 other names
Description: 5.8S ribosomal RNA
Rfam family: 5.8S ribosomal RNA
About the family: 5.8S ribosomal RNA (5.8S rRNA) is a component of the large subunit of the eukaryotic ribosome. It is transcribed by RNA polymerase I as part of the 45S precursor that also contains 18S and 28S rRNA. Functionally, it is thought that 5.8S rRNA may be involved in ribosome translocation.
Source: RNAcentral